Long non-coding RNA from Patella vulgata (common limpet), 1119 nucleotides. RefSeq lists it as uncharacterized. The record is from RefSeq and is a predicted model, not a curated record. The transcript has 4 exons. NCBI's taxonomy places the organism in Eukaryota, Metazoa, Mollusca, Gastropoda, Patellidae.
ACAAGGUGGGGAUUACCAUGUCAACGGGUAUAUUUGACAGUGGUUAACUUCUUUGCUUCAUUUCUUCAUGUAAGUUUGUUCGGAAGCGGGUGAUUAUCUUAACGAGUGCGGUAAAGAUGACAAAGUUUAUUAUUUCUAUUGGUUUGAUGGGGUUGAUGAUAUUACAGAUCCAGGCUCAACUGAACACGAAUUGGCAACAAAGAUUCUUAAACCGGAACCGGCUAAACGUUAACAGGGGCCUCCGUCAGAGCCCUCCAGACCUUCCUUCAGCUACUCUUUGUCCAGUCGGAUAUGAGGGUUAUACUGCCUUCCCGGGAAACUGUACCCGUUUUAUCCAAUGUGGUAUACCAGGACUCAAUAGAGCUGAAUUCACCUGUUCUCCAGGAACAUCGUACAGCGUUGACUUGAAGCAAUGUAUUAGGAGCGAACUGGUCAAUUGUGUGAACGGGGUUCGUCCGACAGGAACGGGCAUUUCAGGACGAACUGGUUUGGUAAACAACCAGUGGAACACCAACAGGAACACCAAUCGCUGGAACACUAAUACGAACACCAAUCUGAACAACAGAUGGACUGCUACCAAUAACAGACUGAAUACAAAUAGUAACAGAUUGAACACGGGCCUUAAUACAAACAGUAACAGAUGGACCACGGGCCUUAAUACAAAUAGUAACAGACUGAACACGGGCCUUAAUACAAACAGCAACAGGUGGACCACGGGCCUUAAUACAAAUAGAAAUACUGCUCCUAUUGUCAAUUCGAAUCUAAGAAAAACAGUUGAACUACGACUUAUCAGUAACAAUCGGGAAAUAUUAGACGGUGCACAAUGUUCUACUAUACAGAACCGCCUUAACGCUGCCUUGCCUGAAUUAGUUCGUGCUUUCUCAAGAACAUGUAAAGACACUGCUUGUUUAAAUGCCUUACCAACUUUCCGUGUUCAAUGUUCCCAGACUAACAGGGGUACCACCAAUAUCUUCACUGGCUAAACGAAAAGGCAGAUGCUCUAGCGAUGUACAUAGAAGGGAAAGCUUGUAUAAUGGUCAACUCUACUUAGAUUAUUUAUAUACUGUAACUCAGUACACUCUCUGUAUAACUUGAUAAAUAAAAAAUAUUCUGGGUUUU